RNAcentral lists this ribosomal RNA (315 nucleotides) under uncultured prokaryote. RNAcentral describes it as "bacterial SSU rRNA". It matches the Rfam family "Bacterial small subunit ribosomal RNA", at positions 26 to 352 of the family's 1533-position model. The record is from RNAcentral.
AGGAUUAACGCUGGCGGCGUGCCUGACACAUGCAAGUCGAACGAGGCCGCAAGGCCUAGUGGCGGACGGGUGAGUAACACGUGACCAACCAACCUCGAAGACCGGGACAACACCGGGAAACCGGUGCUAAUACCGGAUACCCCCACCGGACCGCAUGGUCUGGCGGGGAAAAGGAUUCCGCUUCGGGAGGGGCUCGUGGCCUAUCAGCUAGUUGGCGGGGUAACGGCCUACCAAGGCUUCGACGGGUAGCUGGUCUGAGAGGACGAUCAGCCACACUGGGACUGAGACACGGCCCAGACUCCUACGGGAGGCAGC